This 580-nucleotide ribosomal RNA is filed under the name Fusarium dimerum. RNAcentral describes it as "eukaryotic LSU rRNA". The stretch from base 200 to 353 matches the Rfam family "5.8S ribosomal RNA". Lineage: Eukaryota; Fungi; Ascomycota; Sordariomycetes; Hypocreales; Nectriaceae. The record is from RNAcentral.
UAAAAGUUGUAACAAGGUUCCGUUCGUGAGCCCCGGAGGAUCAUUACCGAGUUUCAACUCCCUAACCCCGUGUUGAACAUACCGUACCCCGGUUGCCUCGGCGGACCCCCGCCUCCCCGUAACACGGGAGCGGCCCGCCAGAGGACCCAACAAACCCUGUUUUUUUCAGUAUCUUCUGAGUGAAAACACAAUCAAUUAAAACUUUCAACAACGGAUCUCUUGGUUCUGGCAUCGAUGAAGAACGCAGCGAAAUGCGAUAAGUAAUGUGAAUUGCAGAAUUCAGUGAAUCAUCGAAUCUUUGAACGCACAUUGCGCCCGCCAGUACUCUGGCGGGCAUGCCUGUUCGAGCGUCAUUACAUCCCUCAAGCCCCUUCGGGCUUGGUGUUGGGCAUCGGCCGUCCCUCCAGCGGCGGCCGUGCCCCAAAUACAGUGGCGGUCUCGCCCCCGGCUCCUCUGCGUAGUAGUAACAUCUCGCACCUGGGACGGAGCGUAGGCCCCGCCGUAAAACAACCCAACUUUCUGAAUGUGACCUCGGAUCAGGUAGGAAUAACCGCUGAACUUAAGUAUAAUAAGCGGAGGA